GAUGAACGCUGGCGGCGUGCCUAAUACAUGCAAGUCGAGCGAACGGACGAGAAGCUUGCUUCUCUGAUGUUAGCGGCGGACGGGUGAGUAACACGUGGAUAACCUACCUAUAAGACUGGGAUAACUUCGGGAAACCGGAGCUAAUACCGGAUGAUAUUUUGAACCGCAUGGUUCAAAAGUGAAAGACGGUCUUGCUGUCACUUAUAGAUGGAUCCGCGCUGCAUUAGCUAGUUGGUAAGGUAACGGCUUACCAAGGCAACGAUGCAUAGCCGACCUGAGAGGGGGGUCCGCCACACCUGAACUGGAACCCGGUCCCGACCCCUACCGGAGGGAACCGUUAGGAAUUCUCCGCCAUUGGCCAAAGCCCGACGGAGGCACGCCCCGGUGAGUGAUAAAGGUCUUCGGUCCGUAAACCCUUGUAUUAGGGAAGAACAUAUGUGUAAGUAACUGUGCACAUCUUGACGGUACCUAAUCAGAAAGCCACGGCUAACUACGUG
This 497-nucleotide ribosomal RNA is filed under the name uncultured bacterium. RNAcentral's name for it is "partial 16S ribosomal RNA". It matches the Rfam family "Bacterial small subunit ribosomal RNA", at positions 28 to 507 of the family's 1533-position model. The record is from RNAcentral.